RNAcentral lists this transfer RNA (73 nucleotides) under Microbotryum lychnidis-dioicae p1A1 Lamole. Its description in RNAcentral is "tRNA-Arg (ACG) (tRNA-Arg-ACG-1-1)". It matches the Rfam family "tRNA". From Rfam's summary of the family: Transfer RNA (tRNA) molecules are approximately 80 nucleotides in length. Lineage: Eukaryota; Fungi; Basidiomycota; Microbotryomycetes; Microbotryales; Microbotryaceae. The record is from RNAcentral.
GGUCUGCUGGCCCAAUGGUUAAGGCGCUUGACUACGAAUCAAGAGAUUCCAGGUUCGAGUCCUGGGUAGAUCA